This 70-nucleotide transfer RNA is filed under the name Squaliolus aliae (smalleye pygmy shark). RNAcentral describes it as "tRNA-Glu". It matches the Rfam family "tRNA". From Rfam's summary of the family: Transfer RNA (tRNA) molecules are approximately 80 nucleotides in length. Their secondary structure includes four short double-helical elements and three loops (D, anti-codon, and T loops). The record is from RNAcentral. Lineage: Eukaryota; Metazoa; Chordata; Chondrichthyes; Squaliformes; Dalatiidae.
AUUCUUAUAGUUGAAUGAACAACGAUAGUUUUUCAAGUUGUUGGUCUUGGUUAAAGCCCAGGUGAGAAUA